GUAUCACUGUGGUACACUUUUGGUGGAGGAACCAAACUCAUCAUUAACUCUGGCACCAUGGUCAGGCCCUCAGUCUCUCUGCUUCCCCCCUCCUCUGAGCAGCUCUCUGGGGGCUCGGCCACGCUGGCCUGCCUGCUGACCGGCUACUCUCCUCAGGGAGCCGUGGUGAGCUGGCAGGUGGACGGUACGGAGGUGACGGAGGGGGUCCUGAGCAGCUCAGAGGAGGAGAAGAGCGGCCGCUACAGCAGCAGCAGCACCCUGAGCCUGAGCCAGGAGCGCUGGAUGGAAGGAGAGCUGUACUCCUGCAGGGUCCUCCAUCAGGGCCACAGCCAGACCCAGUCCCUCCACAGGAGCCAGUGUAAGGGCUAGAGGGGCCGGCUGAAGCCCAGGACAGGAGCUCUGUGUGGGGUGGAGCAGCUCUGAUCAAUAGCAGUUUGAAUGCUUGUAGAGGAAACUGAAGCUUUGUGUGACAGAGAACAACACUGCUGUAAAGUGUUGGACAACAACAACUUAGAGAGGAAUGUGUGUCGCUCAGCAGCUUCAUGUGAGUGAGCUUAAUAACUGUCAUGUUGAUCACUGAUGUUGUUGCUAAUAAAGAUUUCACUGAUACAUAACUUCA
This is a non-coding RNA of Sebastes umbrosus (honeycomb rockfish), 619 nucleotides long. The record is from the annotation of a RefSeq genome assembly. NCBI's taxonomy places the organism in Eukaryota, Metazoa, Chordata, Actinopteri, Perciformes, Sebastidae.